Molecule: ribosomal RNA, 1485 nt
Filed under: uncultured prokaryote
Description: partial 16S ribosomal RNA
Rfam family: Bacterial small subunit ribosomal RNA
Source: RNAcentral
GAGUUUGAUCAUGGCUCAGGAUGAACGCUAGCGGGAGGCUUAAUACAUGCAAGUCGAGCGGGAUCCGCCUUUCGGGGCGGUGAGACCGGCGCACGGGUGAGUAACGCGUACACAACCUACCUUUAAGUGGGGGAUAGCCUUGGGAAACUGAGAAUAAUACCCCAUGUGAUUAACUUGCUGCAUGGCAUUGGGAUUAAAGUUGAGGCGUUGUAAGAUGGGUGUGCGUACUAUUAGCUAGUUGGUAAGGUAACGGCUUACCAAGGCGACGAUAGAUAGGGGGCGUGAGAGCGUGACCCCCCACACGGGUACUGAGACACGGACCCGACUCCUACGGGAGGCAGCAGUAAGGAAUAUUGGACAAUGGGGGCAACCCUGAUCCAGCCAUCCCGCGUGCAGGAUGACGGCCCUCUGGGUUGUAAACUGCUUUUAUUAGGGAAGAAACCCCGGAUUUUCAUCCGGGCUGACGGUAACUUAUGAAUAAGCACCGGCUAAUUCCGUGCCAGCAGCCGCGGUAAUACGGAAGGUGCAAGCGUUAUCCGGAAUCACUGGGUUUAAAGGGUGCGUAGGCGGCAAAUUAAGUCAGGGGUGAAAGCUUCCCGCUCAACGGGAGAAUUGCCUUUGAUACUGGCAGGCUAGAAUCAGAUUGAGGCGGGCGGAACGUGGCAUGUAGCGGUGAAAUGCAUAGAUAUGACUUAGAACACCGAUUGCGAAGGCAGCUUGCCAAGUCUGGAUUGACGCUGAGGCACGAAAGCGUGGGGAUCAAACAGGAUUAGAUACCCUGGUAGUCCACGCCCUAAACGAUGUUUACUCGACGUUCUGUUUUCGGAUGGAGCGUCCAAGCGAAAGCGUUAAGUAAACCACCUGGGGAGUACGCCGGCAACGGUGAAACUCAAAGGAAUUGACGGGGGUCCGCACAAGCGGCGGAGCAUGUGGUUUAAUUCGAUCAUACGCGAGGAACCUUACCUAGGCUCUAAUGUUAGCGCAAUCUGCUGAAAGGCGGAGUUCCUUUCGGACGCGAAACAAGGUGCUGCAUGGCUGUCGUCAGCUCGUGCCGUGAGGUGUUGGGUUAAGUCCCGCAACGAGCGCAACCCCUAUCUCUAGUUGCCAGCAAGUAAAGUUGGGGACUCUAGAGAGACUGCCGGCGUAAGCCGCGAGGAAGGUGGGGAUGACGUCAAAUCAUCAUGGCCUUUAUGCCCAGGGCGACACACGUGCUACAAUGGCGAGUACAACGGGUAGCUAAACCGCGAGGUGGCGCCAAUCCAAGAAAGCUCGUCUCAGUUCGGAUUGAAGUCUGCAACUCGACUUCAUGAAGUUGGAAUCGCUAGUAAUCGCGCAUCAGCCAUGGCGCGGUGAAUACGUUCCCGGACCUUGUACACACCGCCCGUCAAGCCAUGGAAGCCGGGAGUACCUGAAGAUGGUGACUUAACGGGGAGCUAUCUAAGGUAAAACCAGUAACUAGGGCUAAGUCGUAACAAGGUAACCGUA